AGGCAGCAGGGGGAAAGGACAAGGGGGCAACCCGACCAGCGAGCCGCGGGGGAAGAAGGCCCGGGGAAUGCCCAGGGGGAAGAAGGGAGGGGAAAGCCAGACGACGGACCGACAGAAAAGCACCGGCAAACC
RNAcentral lists this ribosomal RNA (132 nucleotides) under uncultured bacterium. RNAcentral describes it as "partial 16S ribosomal RNA". The record is from RNAcentral.